RNAcentral lists this ribosomal RNA (406 nucleotides) under uncultured bacterium. Its description in RNAcentral is "bacterial SSU rRNA". It matches the Rfam family "Bacterial small subunit ribosomal RNA", at positions 355 to 775 of the family's 1533-position model. The record is from RNAcentral.
UGAAGAAUAUUGGGCAAUGGGGGAAACCCUGACCCAGCAACGCCGCGUGAAGGAAGAAGGUUUUCGGAUUGUAAACUUCUGUCCCAUGGGACGAAACAAAUGACGGUACCAUGGGAGGAAGCCCCGGCUAACUACGUGCCAGCAGCCGCGGUAAUACGUAGGGGGCAAGCGUUGUCCGGAAUUAUUGGGCGUAAAGGGUGCGUAGGCGGCCUUUCAAGUUGGAUGUGAAAUCCCCGUGCUUAACAUGGGAAUUGCAUUCAAAACUGGAGGGCUUGAGUGUGGAAGAGGUAAGUGGAAUUCCCAGUGUAGCGGUGAAAUGCGUAGAUAUUGGGAGGAACACCAGUGGCGAAGGCGACUUACUGGGCCACAACUGACGCUGAUGCACGAAAGCGUGGGGAGCAAACAG